UUCCGUAGGUGGACCUGCGGAAGGA
This 25-nucleotide non-coding RNA is filed under the name Xenopus tropicalis (tropical clawed frog). Lineage: Eukaryota; Metazoa; Chordata; Amphibia; Anura; Pipidae. RNAcentral also lists the same sequence under 1 other name. The record is from RNAcentral.